CUUCCAGUUAGGAGAAUCAAAUGUUAAAUUAUACUUAGCAAUAUCUCUUCAAAUAUAACAAUUUAUUGGUUUAAAAGGUAGUCUAUUGUAACAUGCAUGUGAUGUAUUUAUAAUCUAAACAAGCCACAGUUAGCCCUCUAAAGGGUUUGUAAACAACAGCAAAUCACCUCCCUUUGAUCACGGUGUUAGGGUUGUUGGUAAAAGUAUAACAGAUAAAUUCUAGUGGGAGAAAACCGAGGGGUCAGGGGAAAAGUGAUUUCUUAGUCCAUCCAACUGUCAUUCAAAAACGAAGCCAUUUUAUUGCAAUGCAUCAAAGAUGAUUUUUUUUUAACCAGCCUAUAAAAAAUGCGACUCAAGUCCAGGGGUUCAGAUGGAUUAAAAUUGGUCCACACAGAGAAAAAACUCGUAUUAUCAUAGAAAUGUCUGUUUCAGAGCUCUGAGAGUCUGAGGCUAAGUUAAUCAUGGACUGGGUACCAAUUCCUUUGCAUAAAGACUGUGUGGGGUGGUGCCGGGCCAGUGUUCUAUCACUGAGCUAGGCCCCUGGCCAUUAAUAACUUUAAAUACCAAAUUAAGAUAUGCAAGUCCAAACUUUUAUCCAAGACAAGCUAACAAACAUGAUUUCAUCUUUGAGGCUGUCUCUUGGUAAAGGCAAAGUGCACACAUCUGAUUUAACAGAAAGAUCUUCCUCAAAGAAAACUAGCCUUGAAGAUCAUUUUAUCAAAAUUCACAUUUUUUAAAAACCUAGCUUGAAGGGGGAAAAAAACUAUUGAUAAAAAUAUUAACUUACCAAGAAGUGAAACAGGCUGGGUUACAGGAGGGGUAGGCAGAUUCGUGGGUGCAGCAGGUGGCACAGCAGAGCCAUACAUUUUCACACUGUCACCAGAUUCGGCAUUUCCUCUAGCCCCAGACACCACUGUUGGAAUGGGAUUUCCAAUAGAUAAGUCUUUUGUAGUGUCUUCAUUUAUACCAGCGAUAGUAGCUAAGGAAUAGUUUGGGAUGCUUAUUGGUGGAGUGUGAGGAGGAGGAAUGGAUACUGGUGGAGUUAUAGGAGGUGGGGGUCCAGGAGGAAGAAAACCUAGAACGAGAAAAGUAAUGUUAAUGUAUGCUACUGUCACUUCAUUUUAAGUUCUAAAGGAAUGUCUUCCAAACAACUUAGUGUACCUGGUGGUAAAUGCAUUGGAUUGAAUCCUGGGCGCAAAAAUGGUGGAGGGGGAGGUGGAG
Molecule: long non-coding RNA, 1221 nt
Filed under: Heterocephalus glaber (naked mole-rat)
Lineage: Eukaryota; Metazoa; Chordata; Mammalia; Rodentia; Bathyergidae
Description: lncRNA (ENSHGLG00000047736.1)
Source: RNAcentral